GCCCAGGUGGCGGAAUGGUAGACGCGCACGUUUCAGGUGCGUGUGUCGCAAGGCAUGCAGGUUCGAGUCCUGUUCUGGGCA
Molecule: transfer RNA, 81 nt
Filed under: Phocaeicola abscessus
Lineage: Bacteria; Pseudomonadati; Bacteroidota; Bacteroidia; Bacteroidales; Bacteroidaceae
Also listed under: 5 other names
Description: tRNA-Leu(cag)
Rfam family: tRNA
About the family: Transfer RNA (tRNA) molecules are approximately 80 nucleotides in length.
Source: RNAcentral